ACGGAGGAAAGGAAAGUUCUCUCAGCAACCAAGUGGAGCUACAAGUGUAACACCAUGACUUUGAUUUGUUUAUUUACUUAUUAAUUUUUGUUUUCGAUCUAAAAUUUUCAUCUGGCUUUCCCAUGGAAGACUUGAGCUUUGCCUAUGUUAACACAAAUGGAUUACGAGGAUAACAUGAGGAAAGUAGCUCACAUUUUCAGAAUAGACCAGAUUGUAGAAUAUGGUGCUUUUAGAUUAUGGAAUGGCUUCUGUAACUUGUGUCGGGUCACACCCUGAGGUUCCAAGAUGCUCGUUUUGUUUGAAACCCCCGCGGG
This 314-nucleotide long non-coding RNA is filed under the name Vitis vinifera (wine grape). RNAcentral describes it as "long non-coding RNA (VVIN_LNC001309)". Lineage: Eukaryota; Viridiplantae; Streptophyta; Magnoliopsida; Vitales; Vitaceae. The record is from RNAcentral.